This 253-nucleotide ribosomal RNA is filed under the name uncultured bacterium. RNAcentral describes it as "partial 16S ribosomal RNA". It matches the Rfam family "Bacterial small subunit ribosomal RNA", at positions 524 to 776 of the family's 1533-position model. The record is from RNAcentral.
UACGUAGGGGGCGAGCGUUGUCCGGAAUGACUGGGCGUAAAGGGCGCGUAGGCGGCCGUACAAGUCUAGCGUGAAAGUCCCGCUUUCAAGGUGGGAAUAGCGAGGGAAACUGUAAGGCUUGAGUGCGGAAGAGGUAAGUGGAAUUCCCAGUGUAGCGGUGAAAUGCGUAGAGAUUGGGAGGAACACCAGUGGCGAAGGCGACUUACUGGGCCGUAACUGACGCUGAUGCGCGAAAGCGUGGGGAGCGAACAGG